Non-coding RNA from Equus caballus (horse), 1649 nucleotides. NCBI's taxonomy places the organism in Eukaryota, Metazoa, Chordata, Mammalia, Perissodactyla, Equidae. The record is from RefSeq and is a predicted model, not a curated record.
GUGUCCUGAGGGGUGAGACAGUGAGAGCCGGGCUGAGGAAGGGAGGCCCCAAGGGAGGCAGGAGCUCAGCAGGCAGAGGGUGAGUGCAGGUUCCCUGAGCACAAACAACAGCACAGGUCACCUGGAAUGUGGGGAAGACAGUGGGGGGGCCAGAGGCUGGGUCCUCCUCCAGCGCUGCCAGCUCUCAGUUCUUGUGCCAACGUCACCUUCGCAGCAGAGCCUCCCCUGAGUACCCAUUAUCACCGUGCAACCUUCCCCUCACUCUCUCUCUCUCCUAUCCCUGUGGGAUUUCGCUCCAUAGCUCUUAUCUCCACACCGUAUCUUGCUCUCUGUUUUUGGCCAUUUUUCUGUUUCCCCCGGCUCAUAAAGCUGCACAAAGGCAGGUGCAGUGGGAUCUAGGGUGCCUGGCACACAGCAGAUGCUCCAUAAACCUUGAAUGAAGCCUAUGGGUCCCCCUGUGCCAGCUCUACUCUCAGCCCUUUGCAUGGACUAUCGAGUCUAUCCACACGACCACCCAGCAAGAAGCGUCUCCUGACACAUCUCUCCAGCCUCACACGUCUGGGACCCAAUCGCGGUCCAUUCAACGGGUGUCUGAGCCGAGUUUCGCUGCAACUUCAACAUCAGUCCCCGUUGACAGGAAAUCCUGUUGUCUUAAGCUGCAAGAUACCCCCAGAACCUGACCAGGUCUCGCCACCUCUACUGCUUCCAAGACGACCCUGGCUCUCACCUGCUUCCUCCUGGGUGUCCAUGGGGGUCCCCUCCCCCACUCCCACAUAUCCCUCACUCUAUUCUUCACCCAUCAACCAGAAGGAUCACCAUAAAGGUAAGUUAAUUCCUGUCUCUCCUCUGCUCAGACCCUCCAUAGGUGGUCUGAAUCCCAUCCCAGUGAGAAUCGAAUUCUAAGUCCUUAAAUUGGCCCCAAAGGCUCUAGGUGAUCUGGCCUCCCCCUCUCUCUGUCUCUCUGUCCUGCUCUGCUCUGCCUUGAUCACAUUGUUGGAGCCACACUGGUCUCUAGGCUCCUCCUUGAACACACAGCAGGCAUAUGGCCACCCCAGGGCCUUUACAUAUACUCCCUUGCUCCUGGCUCUCUGGAAUUGUCUCCUCCUUCCUGAAUUGCUUGAAAAAGGCUCAAAGAGGUGUUGACCCUCAAUAGCUGGUUCAGUGGCAGAGCCCAGACAGGGAGCCAACAUCUCUCUGAUUCAGACAUUAAGCUCUUUAUCUGCUGUGCUCUCCUGACUGGGCCGCCCCACCCUUUUCCCUGGGACCACCGCCCAGUUGCUUAGGGGAGGUCAAGGCCCUUCACGUUCCAACCCUUUUGUUCUUCCUCAGCUUGGGGUCCUGCUGUGGCCCACCUUGGGCAGCCUGUGCUCUUGGCCCAGCCCUCUGCCACCCCCAUGCCUUCUCAGGGGCUGCUCUGGCUCCAGGAAUGCCCUUCUGUCCUCCAUAUAUUCCCUGACCUCUUGUCCUACUCAGCUUCUGAUGCCUGGUCCUGCCGAUGGUCAGGAAAUACUUGCUAAACUGCUGAACUGAACAGAACCAGGGAAGCCAAACACAUCCUCCAAGAGAUCUGGCUCCAAUGUCGAAAGCUAACCAAACAUGGAUUGUGAUAGGAACAUUCAUUCGUGGCAUAAAAGCUGUGUUUCAUGUGA